UAAUGAUUAACUUUAGGUGUAGGACAAUUUAGAAUGGAAUGCCAACUGCAAAUGAUGCCAACAUUUUUUUUAAUACUAGAAGUAUACUUAUAUAUUAAUUUAGAGACUUUCGUAUCACCCAUUGAAAAUUGUGAAUUUGUGAACUAAUCCACAUCGACAAAUCAAUGUUGUUGACCACUUUACCUAUCUAGGCAGCACAGUGUCCAGCAAUGGUUCACUAUCCAGAGAAAUAGACAACCGUCUCGCAAAAGCUACUGGCGCUUUUGGCCUCCUCCGACUGAGAGUAAGGCGGAAUAGGUCUCUACACCUAGUAACAAAAAUCAGUGUUUAUAAAGCAGUGGUUCUCACUACACACUUUCAUGGCUCUGAGAACUGGCCUUUAAUGCACUUCGAACGCUCCCAUGAAAAGGUGCCUUCGCCUAGUGGCGGGCAUAUGCUGGCGGGACUACAUUACUCUGUUCUGUUGGAGGUCGGUGUGGACAGUAUAGAAACACUAUUUACAAACAGCUGCGCUGGGUCAGACACUUAUCCCGCAAGGGAGAUGACCACAUGCUAUCUUCUUUGGCGAGCUUAAAGGAGGCCGGCUUAACACAAGUGCUCCCCCACCCCUUUAAGGGCUAUAAAGAUCAACUCAGGCGUCAUUUAACUCUCAUUGGCAUAGAGGAAAGUAGCUGGCAGCAGAUGGUCUCUGAAAGAGACAGUUGGAGAGCUCUUACAAACGCUGCGGGACAAACAUUUGAGACUAAAAGAAAAGACAUUAUUUGGAGACAGGCGCAGAAGACGGAAAGAAAACAUAAUAGACCGCCAGAGGACAACGGCUUUGUCUGCAGGAAGUGCUGGAAAAUAUGUAGGUGGGAACUGGGUUUACCUAGUCAUGUAAAACACUGCACUCA
Non-coding RNA from Biomphalaria pfeifferi, 893 nucleotides. NCBI's taxonomy places the organism in Eukaryota, Metazoa, Mollusca, Gastropoda, Planorbidae. The record is from the annotation of a GenBank genome assembly.